Molecule: ribosomal RNA, 253 nt
Filed under: uncultured bacterium
Lineage: Bacteria
Description: partial 16S ribosomal RNA
Rfam family: Bacterial small subunit ribosomal RNA
Source: RNAcentral
UACGUAGGAGGCAAGCGUUGUCCGGAAUUACUGGGCGUAAAGCGCGUGUAGGUGGUGGGACAAGUCUGCUGUGAAAGCGCCUGGCUUAACCGGGCGAGGUCGGCGGAAACUGUUCGACUCGAGGACGGUAGAGGGGGGUGGAAUUCCCAGUGUAGUGGUGAAAUGCGUAGAGAUCGGGAGGAACACCUGUGGCGAAGGCGGCCCCCUGGGCCGGCCCUGACACUGAGACGCGAAGGCGUGGGGAGCGAACAGG